RNAcentral lists this ribosomal RNA (496 nucleotides) under uncultured bacterium. Its description in RNAcentral is "bacterial SSU rRNA". It matches the Rfam family "Bacterial small subunit ribosomal RNA", at positions 28 to 514 of the family's 1533-position model. The record is from RNAcentral.
GAUGAACGCUAGCGGCAGGCUUAAUACAUGCAGGUCGUGGGGGCAGCAGGUUUGUAGCAAUACAGAUGCUGGCGACCGGCAAACGGGUGCGGAACACGUACAGAACCUUCCUUUGAGCGGGGAAUAGCCCAGAGAAAUUUGGAUUAAUACCCCAUAGUAUAAUGAAGUGGCAUCACUUUAUUAUUAAAGAUUUAUCACUCGAAGAUGGCUGUGCGGCUGAUUAGGUAGUUGGCGGGGUAAAGGCCCACCAAGCCUGCGAUCAGUAACUGGUGUGAGAGCACGACCAGUCACACGGGCACUGAGACACGGGCCCGACUCCUACGGGAGGCAGCAGUAAGGAAUAUUGGUCAAUGGAGGCAACUCUGAACCAGCCAUGCCGCGUGGAGGAUGAAGGUCCUCUGGAUUGUAAACUUCUUUUAUAUGGGACGAAAAAAGGCUUUUCUAAGUCGUCUGACGGUACCAUAUGAAUAAGCACCGGCUAACUCCGUGCCAGCAG